RNAcentral lists this ribosomal RNA (495 nucleotides) under uncultured bacterium. RNAcentral describes it as "partial 16S ribosomal RNA". It matches the Rfam family "Bacterial small subunit ribosomal RNA", at positions 28 to 507 of the family's 1533-position model. The record is from RNAcentral.
GACGAACGCUGGCGGCGUGCCUAAUACAUGCAAGUAGAACGCUGAAGGAGGAGCUUGCUUCUCUGGAUGAGUUGCGAACGGGUGAGUAACGCGUAGGUAACCUGCCUGGUAGCGGGGGAUAACUAUUGGAAACGAUAGCUAAUACCGCAUAAUAGUAGAUGUUGCAUGACAUUUGCUUAAAAGGUGCAAUUGCAUCACUACCAGAUGGACCUGCGUUGUAUUAGCUAGUUGGUGAGGUAACGGCUCACCAAGGCAACGAUACAUAGCCGACCUGAGAGGGUGAUCGGCCACACUGGGACUGAGACACGGCCCAGACUCCUACGGGAGGCAGCAGUAGGGAAUCUUCGGCAAUGGACGGAAGUCUGACCGAGCAACGCCGCGUGAGUGAAGAAGGUUUUCGGAUCGUAAAGCUCUGUUGUAAGAGAAGAAUGAGUGUGAGAGUGGAAAGUUCACACUGUGACGGUAUCUUACCAGAAAGGGACGGCUAACUACGUG